UCUUUUUAUCAUUUAAUUCUAAUUUAAUUCUACUCUAAAAUCUUUCUGCAAAUUAAAAGUGCACUCCCCCGAGUAAAACAUAUUUUACUGUAAGAACUGGAACACACACAUCUACUUUAUGAUCCAGUGCUGAUAAGAAGUUAUGAAAUAUCAUUUUGAAUAGUGCAGAGUGCAUACCUGUCAAAACUGGAACACACACACAUUUACUAUAUGAUCCACUGCUGAUAAGAAGUUAUGAACUAUCAUUUUGAAUAGUGCAGAGUGCAUACAGAUUCUUUUUGGACACAAACUAAGCCUCCCAAUACUACAUCCCGUUGUUGUUAAUUGUGAUUUCUGCAGCUUGCCGCAUGUGUUUAUUCAAACUACAUCUCAUUGUUUUUGCCUUUGCACUACCCGACUCACGAGGUCGUACCACUCCUGCUCCUGUAUUAGAUGGCAGCACAUGCCCUUAUGAAAAUUGAAGAAGACUAUAGUGAAAAAACAUCAAAAUUUGCUCUGAGUUCUUGUUGGCUUCGUUACUGUUUUAAGUGAUGCUAUUAUAUUUGAAAAGGAAUUACUCCAACUUCUUUUUGUAAUGUUGAACCAGUCACUGAACCGUGCAAUAUGAGCGUGGAAACACGAACGACAAAUAAAAGAUAGUGCUAAACAUUGGGAUUCGCUGCACCAAGCCAUACCCGGACGAGCGCCCCAACAUGCAGGAAGUGGCUGCAGGGCUGCAUGGAAUCAAGGAGGCUUAUCUCAGAUGGUACUAAGUGACAUCGAUUUGCAUAUGGCUGCUCUUGCAUUGGAGUUGUGUUCCACAAUAAUGGUUGACAGAAGAUCCAUUAAAAACGUCGGUUUAGCUGUGAGACAUACAAUUUUGCAUGACACCCUUGUUUUCAUCAGGAGCGCUAUGUUGCAAGGACAAGCAGUACAGAUUGAUGUUGGAUUAUCUAUUAUGGCAGUGACAUCUAUUUGCAUAUGGCUGCUCUUGCAUUGGAGCUGUGUUCCACAAUAAUGGUUGACAGAAGAUACAUUAAAAACGUCAUACAGUUUUGCAUGACACCCUUGUUCUGAUCAGGAGCGCUAUGUUGCAAGGACAAGCAGUACAGCUUGAAUGAGAGAGAGAUAGAGGCAGGUGCACCUGGACACGAGGAGAUGUGACUAACACAGCCAACACAGUUUGGAAGUCCUCCGGUGAUGGAUUCGGCAGCAGCAGAUGGGUUGAAGGCCUCUGGCGAUGGAUGCGAUAGUACGAGGUGGAGCCGGCGAGGGAUGCAACACCAUGCGGGGCAAGGUCUGUACCGGCGAGGGAUGCAACACCACAUGGGGCAAGGUGGUGCUCUGUAGUGGCGACAGAGGCAGCACCUCUGUAGCGGCGUGGUGGUGCUCGGCGACAGAGGCAGCACCAAGCGCGGCAAGUCGUGCCCUGGUGAGCCGUAGCUGCAUGGAGGGUUUGGCUUGGAACUGCCAGGACGUGCGUGCGUUAGUGGAUUUUACUGCAUUUGUGUUGAACCGUUUUGCAAUCAGCCGAUGGCCGUAUCUCUUCGGCUGUUGACCGUCCGAGGUGGGGAACGGUUGAUUUAGUAGAGAUUAAUUGAUUGGUUUGUCGUCUGGUUUAUGCAGGGUUGAAAGAAAAACGGUGGAAGGUUAGCGCUAGAGGUUUGAUCGAUCGAGUGUGGGUUGAAAAAAAAUCAAAAAAAUCGGUGGAAGGUUAGCGCUAGAGGGGGGAUCGAGCUUGGUCGAACUAUCGCGACGACGACAGAUCCCCUUUAAUAGUAGAGAUAAUUCGGUAUAGAAAAGAUGGAAGUAUUAUAUACCAACUACACAUAUCAAAUAUCCAUAAAGGUGACCUCUUUAUAUAAUUCAGCACCUGGGUAUCCCCUGAUGAGUUCAUGUCUAUCAUAAUGAACGACUAUGCCAAUUAUGUCUGUAUCAAAUAUCAUUAGUCGAAUUUAGGUACUAAGACUACCUUUGUAUUAGUAACUAUUAUAUGCCUGGAUGCAUACCUAUGAAAGUUUGCUUUGGACACCUUUGAA
Molecule: RNA transcript, 2018 nt
Organism: Hordeum vulgare subsp. vulgare (domesticated barley)
Lineage: Eukaryota; Viridiplantae; Streptophyta; Magnoliopsida; Poales; Poaceae
Exons: 5
Source: RefSeq, a predicted model, not a curated record